RNAcentral lists this ribosomal RNA (502 nucleotides) under uncultured bacterium. RNAcentral describes it as "partial 16S ribosomal RNA". It matches the Rfam family "Bacterial small subunit ribosomal RNA", at positions 28 to 523 of the family's 1533-position model. The record is from RNAcentral.
GAUGAACGCUAGCGGGAGGCUUAACACAUGCAAGUCGAGGGGCAUCACGAGGUAGCAAUACUUUGGUGGCGACCGGCGCACGGGUGAGUAACGCGUAUGCAACCUACCCUGUACAGGGGGAUAGCCCGGAGAAAUUCGGAUUAAUACCCCAUAAUGAUAUUUUAUGGCAUCAUAAAAUAUUUAAAGCUCAGGCGGUACGGGAUGGGCAUGCGUAACAUUAGCUAGUUGGUAGGGUAAUGGCCUACCAAGGCGACGAUGUUUAGGGGUCCUGAGAGGGUGAUCCCCCACACUGGUACUGAGACACGGACCAGACUCCUACGGGAGGCAGCAGUGAGGAAUAUUGGUCAAUGGGCGCGAGCCUGAACCAGCCAUCCCGCGUGGAGGAAGACUGCCCUAUGGGUUGUAAACUUCCUUUCCAGGGGAAUAAAAUCUCGAACGAGUUCGGGUCUGGAGGUACCCUGGGAAUAAGCAUCGGCUAAAUACGUGCCAGCCGCCGCAGUAA